This 66-nucleotide transfer RNA is filed under the name Petrolisthes haswelli. Its description in RNAcentral is "tRNA-His". It matches the Rfam family "tRNA". From Rfam's summary of the family: Transfer RNA (tRNA) molecules are approximately 80 nucleotides in length. Their secondary structure includes four short double-helical elements and three loops (D, anti-codon, and T loops). Lineage: Eukaryota; Metazoa; Arthropoda; Malacostraca; Decapoda; Porcellanidae. The record is from RNAcentral.
AUCUGAAUAGUUUAAAAAUAAAAUUUUGGUUUGUGGAGCCAAAGAUAUGUUAUUACAUUUCAGAUC